GAUCAUGGCUCAGGAUGAACGCUAGCGGCAGGCUUAACACAUGCAAGUCGAGGGGCAGCAUAAUGGAUAGCAAUAUCUAUGGUGGCGACCGGCGCACGGGUGCGUAACGCGUAUGCAACCUACCUUUAACNGGGGGAUAACACUGAGAAAUUGGUACUAAUACCCCCAUAAUAUCAUAGACGGCAUCUUUUAUGGUUGAAAUUCCGAUGGUUAGAGAUGGGCAUGCGUUG
This 230-nucleotide ribosomal RNA is filed under the name uncultured bacterium. RNAcentral describes it as "partial 16S ribosomal RNA". It matches the Rfam family "Bacterial small subunit ribosomal RNA", at positions 15 to 238 of the family's 1533-position model. The record is from RNAcentral.